Long non-coding RNA from Drosophila innubila, 139 nucleotides. RefSeq lists it as uncharacterized. The transcript has 3 exons. Lineage: Eukaryota; Metazoa; Arthropoda; Insecta; Diptera; Drosophilidae. The record is from RefSeq and is a predicted model, not a curated record.
CGUGUCCUCUUCCGAUCUUGAGUAACUAGACUCCACCGUGGGAUAGACGAAAGGGAUAAAUCCGAGCCACCGUUGCGGGAAUCACCAAUGCUGAAACUACUAUUGUAAGCGUAUCUUUUAAGCAGAAUUGAAAAAAAAA